AAGUCGUAACAAGGUUUCCGUAGGUGAACCUGCGGAAGGAUCAUUAUUGAAUAAACUUGGUCAAGUUGUUGCUGGUCCUUCGGGGCAUGUGCACGCUUGCCACCAAUUUUAACCACCUGUGCACCUUUUGUAGGCUGGAAACAAUUCUCGAGACAACUCGGUUUGAGGACUGCUGUGCGAAAGCUGGCUUUCCUUGUGUUUCUCAGUCUAUGUUUUAUAUACCCCCGCAUGUAUGUAUCAGAAUGUAUUGCUGGGCCAUAGUGCUUAUAAAUCAAAUACAA
This 281-nucleotide unclassified non-coding RNA is filed under the name plant metagenome. Its description in RNAcentral is "partial contains small subunit ribosomal RNA and internal transcribed spacer 1". The stretch from base 1 to 46 matches the Rfam family "Eukaryotic small subunit ribosomal RNA", at positions 1786 to 1831 of the family's 1831-position model. The record is from RNAcentral.